AAGCAGCAUUAUUUACUUUUGUUUGAAACAGGAUUUUGCGAAGUUGUAGAGGCUGUCCUCAGACUUGUGGUCCUCCUGUUUAGCCUCCCAAGAACUAGGAUUACAGAUAUGCAUCAGCCACCAAUUUGUAAGCACAAGGAGAAGGACUUGUGCUAUUCACCACUGUAUGACUCUUCUCUAAGAAAACGCCUGGUUUAUGAUAGAAGCUGGGACCAAUUUUGAUCUCUCAUCGUGGUACCUCCCUUUAAGGAGACUAGCCAGCCCCACAGUGGUGAGUUGAUUGCAUCGGAUCCUUUCUGCCUUGGAAAGAGAAAUAAUUGAUAAGAACUGAGAGAUAUAUUCUCUGGGUCUAAUUUUCUUGCCCAUUAUACUUUGGGACUCUGCAUAAUAAAGCAAUAGACCAAAAGAAUAUUCUUAAUAACAGAAAUGUUGUAGCAUGAGCCUAUGGCCAUACAAUCCUUUAGUCAUUGCCCAGACUGCACCAUCUAAACAUGACUGGACUGGGAGGGUAUUGGAAUGCUCUUA
RNAcentral lists this long non-coding RNA (525 nucleotides) under Fukomys damarensis (Damara mole-rat). RNAcentral describes it as "lncRNA (ENSFDAG00000023925.1)". The record is from RNAcentral. Lineage: Eukaryota; Metazoa; Chordata; Mammalia; Rodentia; Bathyergidae.